UAGCUCAGUGGUAGAGCACAUGCUUGGCAUGCAUGAGGUCCUGGGUACAAUCUCCAG
RNAcentral lists this transfer RNA (57 nucleotides) under Camelus bactrianus (Bactrian camel). It matches the Rfam family "tRNA", at positions 8 to 63 of the family's 71-position model. From Rfam's summary of the family: Transfer RNA (tRNA) molecules are approximately 80 nucleotides in length. Their secondary structure includes four short double-helical elements and three loops (D, anti-codon, and T loops). RNAcentral also lists the same sequence under 2 other names. The record is from Rfam by way of RNAcentral. Lineage: Eukaryota; Metazoa; Chordata; Mammalia; Artiodactyla; Camelidae.